RNAcentral lists this ribosomal RNA (114 nucleotides) under Zingiber officinale. Lineage: Eukaryota; Viridiplantae; Streptophyta; Magnoliopsida; Zingiberales; Zingiberaceae. The record is from RNAcentral.
GAGAUCAUACCAACAUGAAUGCAUCAGAUCCCAUCAGAACUCCGAAGUUAAGCGUGCUUGGGCGAGAACAGUACUAGUAUGGACGACCCCCUGGGAAGUCCUCGUUUUGCACUU